This 793-nucleotide ribosomal RNA is filed under the name uncultured archaeon. Its description in RNAcentral is "bacterial SSU rRNA". It matches the Rfam family "Archaeal small subunit ribosomal RNA", at positions 85 to 876 of the family's 1478-position model. The record is from RNAcentral.
ACGGCUCAGUAACACGUAGAUAACCUGCCCUUGGGUCCGGCAUAACCCCGGGAAACUGGGGAUAAUUCCGGAUAACGCAUAUGUGCUGGAAUGCUUUAUGCGUAAAAUGGAUUCGUCUGCCCAAGGAUGGGUCUGCGGCCUAUCAGGUAGUAGUGGGUGUAAUGUACCUACUAGCCGACAACGGGUACGGGUUGUGAGAGCAAGAGCCCGGAGAUGGAUUCUGAGACAUGAAUCCAGGCCCUACGGGGCGCAGCAGGCGCGAAAACUUUACAAUGCGGGAAACCGUGAUAAGGGGACACCGAGUGCCAGCAUCAUAUGCUGGCUGUCCAGGUGUGUAAAAUACACCUGUUAGCAAGGGCCGGGCAAGACCGGUGCCAGCCGCCGCGGUAACACCGGCGGCCCGAGUGGCGAUCGUGAUUAUUGGGUCUAAAGGGUCCGUAGCCGGUUUGGUCAGUCCUCCGGGAAAUCUGAUAGCUCAACUAUUAGGCUUUCGGGGGAUACUGCCAGACUUGGAACCGGGAGAGGUAAGAGGUACUACAGGGGUAGGAGUGAAAUCUUGUAAUCCCUGUGGGACCACCUGUGGCGAAGGCGUCUUACCAGAACGGGUUCGACGGUGAGGGACGAAAGCUGGGGGCACGAACCGGAUUAGAUACCCGGGUAGUCCCAGCCGUAAACGAUGCUCGCUAGGUGUCAGGCAUGGCGCGACCGUGUCUGGUGCCGCAGGGAAGCCGUGAAGCGAGCCACCUGGGAAGUACGGCCGCAAGGCUGAAACUUAAAGGAAUUGGCGGGGGAG